Molecule: ribosomal RNA, 467 nt
Filed under: uncultured bacterium
Lineage: Bacteria
Description: partial 16S ribosomal RNA
Rfam family: Bacterial small subunit ribosomal RNA
Source: RNAcentral
GACGAACGCUGGCGGCGUGCUUAACACAUGCAAGUCGAACGGAAAGGCCCUGCUUUUGUGGGGUGCUCGAGUGGCGAACGGGUGAGUAACACGUGAGUAACCUGCCCUUGACUGUGGGAUAACUUCAGGAAACUGGGGCUAAUACCGGAUAGGAGCUCCUGCUGCAUGGUGGGGGUUGGAAAGUUUCGGCGGUUGGGGAUGGACUCGCGGCUUAUCAGCUUGUUGGUGGGGUAGUGGCUUACCAAGGAUUUGACGGGUAGCCGGCCUGAGAGGGUGACCGGCCACAGUGGCACUGAGAUACGGCCCAGACUGAUACGGGAGGAAGCAGUGGGGAAUAUUGCGAAAUGGGCGGAAGCGUGAUGCAGCAACGCCGCGUGCGGGAUGACGGCCUUCGGGUUGUAAACCGCUUUCGACUGUGACGAAGCGUGAGUGACGGUAAUGGGUAAAGAAGCACCGGCUAACUACGU